GCCUGGGAUAGCUCAGUUUGGAGAACAUGAGACUCUUAAUCUCAGGAUUGUGCAUUCGAGUCUCUUGUUGGGCA
Podarcis lilfordi (Lilford's wall lizard) is the source of this 74-nucleotide non-coding RNA. Lineage: Eukaryota; Metazoa; Chordata; Lepidosauria; Squamata; Lacertidae. The record is from the annotation of a GenBank genome assembly.